This 253-nucleotide ribosomal RNA is filed under the name uncultured bacterium. RNAcentral describes it as "partial 16S ribosomal RNA". It matches the Rfam family "Bacterial small subunit ribosomal RNA", at positions 524 to 776 of the family's 1533-position model. The record is from RNAcentral.
UACGUAGGGUGCAAGCGUUGUCCGGAAUUAUUGGGCGUAAAGAGCUCGUAGGCGGCUCGUUGCGUCGGCUGUGAAAACCCGCGGCUCAACUGUGGGCUUGCAGCUGAUACGGGCGGGCUGGAGUUCGGUAGGGGAGACUGGAAUUCCUGGUGUAGCGGUGAAAUGCGCAGAUAUCAGGAGGAACACCGGUGGCGAAGGCGGGUCUCUGGGCCGAUACUGACGCUGAGGAGCGAAAGCGUGGGGAGCGAACAGG